GACGAACGCUGGCGGCGUGCCUAAUACAUGCAAGUCGAACGGUCUUUUCUAUGGAAGCUUGCUUCCGCUGAGAAGAUAGUGGCGGACGGGUGAGUAACACGUGGGUAACCUGCCCAUAAGAGGGGGAUAACAUCCGGAAACGGGUGCUAAUACCGCAUAGUUUUCUUGAUCGCAUGAUCGGGAAAGGAAAGACGGCCUUUGUGCUGUCGCUUAUGGAUGGACCCGCGGCGUAUUAGUUAGUUGGUGAGGUAAUGGCUCACCAAGACGAUGAUACGUAGCCGACCUGAGAGGGUGAUCGGCCACAUUGGGACUGAGACACGGCCCAAACUCCUACGGGAGGCAGCAGUAGGGAAUCUUCCGCAAUGGACGAAAGUCUGACGGAGCAACGCCGCGUGAGUGAAGAAGGUUUUCGGAUCGUAAAACUCUGUU
RNAcentral lists this ribosomal RNA (429 nucleotides) under uncultured bacterium. Its description in RNAcentral is "bacterial SSU rRNA". It matches the Rfam family "Bacterial small subunit ribosomal RNA", at positions 28 to 437 of the family's 1533-position model. The record is from RNAcentral.